CAUUACCGAGUUUACAACUCCCAAACCCCUGUGAACAUACCUUAAUGUUGCCUCGGCGGAUCAGCCCGCGCCCCGUAAAACGGGACGGCCCGCCAGAGGACCCAAACUCUAAUGUUUCUUAUUGUAACUUCUGAGUAAAACAAACAAAUAAAUCAAAACUUUCAACAACGGAUCUCUUGGUUCUGGCAUCGAUGAAGAACGCAGCAAAAUGCGAUAAGUAAUGUGAAUUGCAGAAUUCAGUGAAUCAUCGAAUCUUUGAACGCACAUUGCGCCCGCUGGUAUUCCGGCGGGCAUGCCUGUUCGAGCGUCAUUUCAACCCUCAAGCCCCCGGGUUUGGUGUUGGGGAUCGGCUCUGCCCUUCUGGGCGGUGCCGCCCCCGAAAUACAUUGGCGGUCUCGCUGCAGCCUCCAUUGCGUAGUAGCUAACACCUCGCAACUGGAACGCGGCGCGGCCAUGCCGUAAAACCCCAACUUCUGAAUGUGACCU
This 486-nucleotide ribosomal RNA is filed under the name Fusarium acuminatum. RNAcentral's name for it is "eukaryotic LSU rRNA". The stretch from base 157 to 310 matches the Rfam family "5.8S ribosomal RNA". Lineage: Eukaryota; Fungi; Ascomycota; Sordariomycetes; Hypocreales; Nectriaceae. The record is from RNAcentral.